RNAcentral lists this ribosomal RNA (301 nucleotides) under uncultured bacterium. Its description in RNAcentral is "partial 16S ribosomal RNA". It matches the Rfam family "Bacterial small subunit ribosomal RNA", at positions 509 to 809 of the family's 1533-position model. The record is from RNAcentral.
CAGCAGCCGCGGUAAUACGGAGGGUGCAAGCGUUAUCCGGAUUUAUUGGGUUUAAAGGGUCCGUAGGCGGACUUAUAAGUCAGUGGUGAAAGCCUGUCGCUUAACGAUAGAACUGCCAUUGAUACUGUAAGUCUUGAGUAUAUUUGAGGUAGCUGGAAUAAGUAGUGUAGCGGUGAAAUGCAUAGAUAUUACUUAGAACACCAAUUGCGAAGGCAGGUUACCAAGAUAUAACUGACGCUGAGGGACGAAAGCGUGGGUAGCGAACAGGAUUAGAUACCCCCGUAGUCCCUGUCUCUUAUAA